This is a long non-coding RNA of Capra hircus (goat), 1382 nucleotides long. RefSeq lists it as uncharacterized. The record is from RefSeq and is a predicted model, not a curated record. The transcript has 3 exons. Lineage: Eukaryota; Metazoa; Chordata; Mammalia; Artiodactyla; Bovidae.
GUCCGAGACUACAGCGCCUCUAAGACUCGGCCGAAAAAUCACUAAAAAAAUCCCAAAAAUUUACUGAGAGCAAAGGGCACUUGGCGGAGCCUCGUCAGGGUUGGCGCAGCGGGUUUUGACCUUUAGGAGAGAGCCAGUUCUGGAGAACAAGCUAACUUCUUUGAUUGAACAUAUAAUGCAUUGGAACAUAAUAGGAGAUUAAGGUUAUUAACAAUAAAAUGAAGACUAUAGUAUAACAAGCCCCCUACUUAGCCCUGCAGUUCUUACCUAGUAAGUAUUAACUGGCAGCCCUCCUACCAUUGCUAUAAAAAAGUUACUGUUUGGCAUUAUGCUUUGGUUUAUUUCAGAAUUUUUUCCUACUAUCCUAGAAUGACAACUUUCUAACUUUUCUGGCCCCCAACAUGUUGAAGUUUGAUGUUAACUUUCUCCAUUUUAGAGCACAAGUAAUGCCAUUGCCUUGGGUAAGUUUUCUGUCUUGGAAAGGAUUUUACAGCUCAGCCCUCUCAUCCCUAUAUCUGAGAAUGAUAAUUUUAAACCCUUUUCCUUCAAAGGAACUUACAAAUAAGUAGUAGUCUACUUAUUGUCAUCAUUAUUCAGGUUUACUAACAGUUAUUUUGUGGUUUUAGAAAUUGGAAUGUUCUCUCCACCUGAUAGUUUUUUUCAUUUAUCCUACAUUUCACUAGAUUAUACUUCUGACUUCUUGUGACGUGCUUAAAAUUUAGCUGUUAAACUUCAAGGGGUGGGAAAAACAGGAAGGCAAUCCCUUUUCCUUCCUUUUAUAUAUACACAUGCGCACCUCCUUCUUAGAAUAAGAAACAUUUUUACCUUGAUUCAUUUUACUUUUGAGAAACUUACAAAUGCUAAGGGAAUAAUCUAAUAGAUUAGCUAAAAUUAAUAUUAUAUUCCUAGAAAAACUGUCGAAAACAAGGUUAUGAUAAAUGCCCAAUAUACUUAUUUCCUUAAAUUUGAGACACUGAAAUCAGCUACCAAAAAGGUUAGUUAUCAUGUAUUCCUUCAGUUAAUUUUACAUUUGUAAACAAAAAAUUCAAGUGCUCCUGUUUUUGUUCUUGAUAUUGAGGGAUGGCCCUAUUUAAAUGAAAACUAGUGCUUCAGAUGCUUCUCUUACAUUACCUCAUACCAUUGCAUUAAGGACCCAGUAAAUAAUGUGUAUGUGUCAAGGAGUGACUUUAUUAUCAUAGAUUAGCCAUUGAACUCAAUAAUUAGUUUUUAGGGUAGGAAUGAAUUAAAUAUUGAAAAUAUUAUAAUAAGCCAGUUUGAAGAGUAGUAGCCAAAUGCCAUAGAUCACUUCUUUUUCUGAUUUUUCCUUUUAUAUUUUUGUUUCUGGAAAACUAGAAUGGAAACCUUUGCAAAUCCCCAAAGAA